This 406-nucleotide ribosomal RNA is filed under the name uncultured bacterium. RNAcentral describes it as "partial 16S ribosomal RNA". It matches the Rfam family "Bacterial small subunit ribosomal RNA", at positions 28 to 526 of the family's 1533-position model. The record is from RNAcentral.
GACGAACGCUGGCGGCGUGCUUAACACAUGCAAGUCGAACGAGUGGCGAACGGGUGAGUAAUACGUGGGUAACCUGCCCUCUUUUUGGGAUAAGCCUUGGAAACGGGGUCUAAUACCGAAUAAUGGGGGAUGGGCUCGCGGCCUAUCAGCUUGUUGGGGGGGUGAUGGACUACCAAGGCGGUGACGGGUAGGCGGCCUGAGAGGGUGACCGGCGACAGUGACACGGAGAUAUGGCCCAGGGUCCGACGGGGUGCGGCAGUGGGGGAUAUUGCACAAUGGGCGAAAGCCUGAUGCAGCGACGCCGAGUGGGGGAUGGAGGCUUUCGGGUUGUAAACCUCUUUCGCUAUAGAACGGGUAGGUGGAGAAGAAGCGCCGGCUAACUACGUGCCAGCAGCCGCGGUAAUUC